Non-coding RNA from Vigna angularis (adzuki bean), 107 nucleotides. Lineage: Eukaryota; Viridiplantae; Streptophyta; Magnoliopsida; Fabales; Fabaceae. The record is from Rfam.
AGUCGAUGGUGGGGACAACUUGCACAUAACUUCUUGAAUCUCUCCCAAUAGUCAUACACGCUCUCUCCACCAAGCUGUCUGAUCCCAGAAAUAUCUUUUCUGAUGGU